AGGGUUUUGCGUGUAAAAUAUGUAGACAUUUAUGAUUGUUUCGUUAGUGUUUUAUCCUGCUCUCUCUUCUUGAUACAUAUAAUAUAUAAAAAUUAUAAUAUGUAUAAACAGAGAGAAAAUAUAUUAGAAGAUAUACUAUUAAAAAAGAUUUCGGCUAUGAUCUUCUCAUCGCUGCGUCGUUCCUGCGUCGAUCGAGCGAUCUCCUGAGCUUUCUUCUUACACGGAUGCGCAAUGUUGCAGGACUCGCUGCCGAUCGAGGAACAUUCCUCGGCGACCGAGGCCAAUUGUGCUGUCUGUAUCUCAGUUAAAAAAUCUCGUGAACUACAUAUUACCGACUAUAAAAUAACGCUGACGCAAGCGCUGACGUCAUAAGAAUCAUCCGAUUACGGGAGAAUUGAUAACAGAAAUACAUAUUGUAGAAAACUUACUGCGUCAAAUGGAGAAUCUAGAAACAAUUCUUGCAGAAAUCGCCGCGCCGGCAUCCUGUACGUACCGGUGCUUAGACGAGCGGCUACAUCCGAAAACAAACAGGUAUCCUGAAAAAAAGAAAAUGAAUGACACAAAAUGUAUAAAUUAUUUCUGCGUAUUGAGAUAUUGUAGAAAAGCAAAACAUACCUGAAACUUUUCGGGAUACCGCUGUCUCAGUCUAAGUAACGAUUGACGACUAAGACGAUACCAUACAGGAUUUGCAAGCCGUUGUGUAUGCCUAAGUAUUUCUCUAUACAACAUAACAAAAUUGUACAUAAUGAACUUUGUACAGAAAAGUAUUUUAUUCUUUGAUUUAAAUCAAUCAAGAACGCUACAAUUUCUCAAAUUUCUAAUUAAUAAAUUAAUAUAUCAAUCAGCAA
Molecule: long non-coding RNA, 848 nt
Organism: Formica exsecta
Lineage: Eukaryota; Metazoa; Arthropoda; Insecta; Hymenoptera; Formicidae
Exons: 3
Source: RefSeq, a predicted model, not a curated record